UAGGAGAAUUACUGAAGUUUGGAUUGCUAUCUUGAUACUGCAAUAAGUGGCAAUGUCAAGGGUUCCCACCCCACCUCCUCCUGGAGAGAUGUCCAGUGGACCUGUGGCUGAAAGCUGGUGUUACACACAGGUUAAAGUAGUAAAAUUUUCCUAUAUGUGGACCAUUAAUAACUUCAGUUUUUGCCGAGAAGAAAUGGGUGAAGUUCUAAAGAGUUCUACCUUUUCAUCAGGGCCAAAUGACAAAAUGAAGUGGUGCCUGCGAGUGAAUCCAAAGGGAUUAGAUGAUGAAAGCAAAGACUACCUGUCAUUAUAUUUGCUUUUAGUCAGUUGUCCAAAAAGUGAAGUCAGAGCAAAAUUCAAAUUUUCCCUGCUGAAUGCUAAAAGAGAAGAAACAAAAGCAAUGGAAAGCCAAAGAGCGUAUCGAUUUGUGCAAGGCAAGGACUGGGGUUUUAAGAAAUUCAUCCGAAGAGAUUUUUUACUAGAUGAAGCUAAUGGUCUUCUACCAGAUGACAAGCUUACAUUAUUUUGUGAGGUAAGCGUGGUCCAAGACUCAGUAAAUAUAUCAGGACAGUCUAAUACAAACACUUUGAAGGUACCUGAAUGUCGACUAGCAGAAGAUUUAGGGAAUCUCUGGGAAACAACAAGAUUUACAGAUUGCAGUUUUUAUGUAGGAGGACAAGAAUUCAAAGCUCAUAAAUCUGUCCUUGCAGCACGAUCUCCAGUUUUUAAUGCAAUGUUUGAACAUGAAAUGGAGGAAAGCAAAAAGAAUCGUGUGGAAAUAAAUGAUGUAGACCCUGAAGUUUUCAAGGAAAUGAUGAGAUUCAUUUACACAGGAAAAGCACCAAACCUUGAAAAAAUGGCCGACAAUCUGUUGGCAGCUGCAGACAAAUAUGCACUGGAACGGCUGAAGGUGAUGUGUGAGGAAGCACUCUGUAGUAACCUCUCGGUAGAAAAUGUUGCUGACAUUCUUAUCCUCGCAGAUUUGCACAGCGCUGAACAGUUAAAAGCACAAGCAAUAGACUUUAUUAACAGGUGCAGUGUUCUUAGACAACUUGGGUGUAAAGAUGGGAAAAACUGGAAUAGCAACCAAGCAACAGACAUAAUGGAAACAGCAGGCUGGAAGUCCAUGAUCCACUCCCACCCUCACUUAGUAGCAGAGGCCUUUCGCGCACUAGCGUCUGCACAGUGUCCACAGUUUGGCAUUCCACGUAAACGGCUAAAACAGUCAUGAAAUCUUCCAUGAACUUUAGAGAAAUUGAAUUGACUCUACUCCUCCAUGUCCAGAGGUGUUUUCACAAACCAUAACAAGAGUUUUUGUUAUCCUUGUCCACAGAACAGAAGCUGAAAAAGCCUAUUGUUUGCUUUUCAGAGGGAUAAUUUAUGGUUUAAUCCUCAGCUUUAAAUUAGACUGAUUAAUUCACUGAAAGGCCUUAAAUUAUCUUCAAUGACUCUCUAGUCCAUAUAGUCUAAUGUAUCUUGAUUUUUUUUUUUUUUUUUUAAAAUGUGCCUUGUCUUUUUGACUAGGCUCUGCAGGAUUGCACUAGCUCCAUAAUGCAGUAAAGUUGAUAACUGAAGAUUAAUUUUUGAAAGGGAUCUUCCAUUAUUUUCAGAAGAAAAAAAAAUGAGUAUAGUUUGUGCUUGAGCCAGAGGUACAUAAUGUACCCUGCACAAGUGCUAAAUAUAGGGAGAGCCUGGUUACCUUCAGCAAAUGCCUACAGGCUAUUUAUGGCAAUAUACUGCUUUGAACAUAAUUUAUUUUUCAUUGUGGGGGCAAAUAUGCAAUGGUUUGGCCCAAAACUGUAUUUUCAUUACAGUUUGUAAUGCUUAUUGUGUGUGUGUCAAAGCUGUCCGAACGGUGAAAAGA
This is an RNA transcript of Merops nubicus (carmine bee-eater), 1864 nucleotides long. It is a transcript of the gene named speckle-type POZ protein-like, with no coding region annotated. NCBI's taxonomy places the organism in Eukaryota, Metazoa, Chordata, Aves, Coraciiformes, Meropidae. The transcript has 11 exons. The record is from RefSeq and is a predicted model, not a curated record.